UACGGAGGGUGCAAGCGUUGCCCGGAUUUAUUGGGUUUAAAGGGUGCGUAGGCGGCCCGUUAAGUCAGUGGUGAAAGCCUCCAGCUCAACUGGAGAACUGCCAUUGAUACUGGCGGGCUUGAGUACAGACGAGGUUGGCGGAAUUGAUUGUGUAGCGGUGAAAUGCAUAGAUACAAUCAAGAACACCGAUUGCGUAGGCAGCUAACUAGGCUGUAACUGACGCUGAGGCACGAAAGCGUGGGGAGCGAACAGG
RNAcentral lists this ribosomal RNA (253 nucleotides) under uncultured bacterium. Its description in RNAcentral is "partial 16S ribosomal RNA". It matches the Rfam family "Bacterial small subunit ribosomal RNA", at positions 524 to 776 of the family's 1533-position model. The record is from RNAcentral.